RNAcentral lists this ribosomal RNA (439 nucleotides) under uncultured bacterium. RNAcentral's name for it is "partial 16S ribosomal RNA". It matches the Rfam family "Bacterial small subunit ribosomal RNA", at positions 339 to 795 of the family's 1533-position model. The record is from RNAcentral.
CUACGGGCGGCAGCAGUGAGGAAUAUUGCACAAUGGGGGGAACCCUGAUGCAGCAACGCCACGUGGAGGAUGACGCAUUUCGGUGUGUAAACUCCUUUUAUAUGUCAAGAAAAUGACGGUAGCAUAUGAAUAAGCACCGGCUAACUCCGUGCCAGCAGCCGCGGUAAUACGGAGGGUGCAAGCGUUACUCGGAAUCACUGGGCGUAAAGGACGCGUAGGCGGGUUGGGAAGUCAGGUGUGAAAUCCUACAGCUUAACUGUAGAACUGCACUUGAAACUUCUAAUCUAGAGUAUGGGAGGGGGAGAUGGAAUUAGUGGUGUAGGGGUAAAAUCCGUAGAUAUCACUAGGAAUACCUAAAGCGAAGGCGAUCUCCUGGAACAUUACUGACGCUAAGGCGUGAAAGCGUGGGGAGCAAACAGGAUUAGAUACCCGCGUAGUC